UACGGAGGGGGCUAGCGUUGUUCGGAAUUACUGGGCGUAAAGCGUACGUAGGCGGCUUUGUAAGUUAGAGGUGAAAGCCCGGGGCUCAACUCCGGAAUUGCCUUCGAUACUGGCUUUCUAGAGGCUGGAAGAGGUUAGUGGAAUUCCCAGUGUAGAGGUGAAAUUCGUAGAUAUUGGGAAGAACACCAGUGGCGAAGGCGGCUAACUGGUCCAGAUCUGACGCUGAGGUGCGAAAGCGUGGGGAGCAAACAGG
This 253-nucleotide ribosomal RNA is filed under the name uncultured bacterium. Its description in RNAcentral is "partial 16S ribosomal RNA". It matches the Rfam family "Bacterial small subunit ribosomal RNA", at positions 524 to 776 of the family's 1533-position model. The record is from RNAcentral.